Molecule: non-coding RNA, 26 nt
Filed under: Homo sapiens (human)
Lineage: Eukaryota; Metazoa; Chordata; Mammalia; Primates; Hominidae
Source: RNAcentral
UGAGAGAGGAAAGUGGAAGGUGCUCU